Molecule: long non-coding RNA, 216 nt
Filed under: Carica papaya (papaya)
Lineage: Eukaryota; Viridiplantae; Streptophyta; Magnoliopsida; Brassicales; Caricaceae
Description: long non-coding RNA (CPAP_LNC005924)
Source: RNAcentral
CCAUACCGGACGGGGUAUGAGGACGGCCCGUUUCACCCUCAUACCGGACGGGGUAAUGAGGUCUAUGGUUUGGCGCCCAUACCGGACGGGGUAUGGGGACGACCCUGGAAUGGAUUUCAAGUGUUAAGGAUUAACGGGUAGCGGGACCCCUAUGGAUCCCCAUGGAUACUAGUGGGCUGGUGAAUCAGGAAAAUAUGUUGUGUAACGAUUGAAUUA